This 11300-nucleotide long non-coding RNA is filed under the name Nicotiana benthamiana. Its description in RNAcentral is "long non-coding RNA (NBEN_LNC034696)". The stretch from base 5631 to 5701 matches the Rfam family "MIR6151 microRNA precursor family". The record is from RNAcentral. Lineage: Eukaryota; Viridiplantae; Streptophyta; Magnoliopsida; Solanales; Solanaceae.
ACGUUACAGAUGAUUAGGGCCCCUUUUGUAUAAUAGGGGAGCUCUAAAUAAGGUACAUUUUCAUUUACAAUAAAGAAUCUUAUUGUUACAACUGUCUAACUGCCUAGUACGGAAUCGUACAAUCCUAUUUCAGGAUUUGCGCCAUGAAUUUGGGGUGGCAAGAAUCUCACACAUUCUGCUAGAAAUCUAUGACUGCAUUAUUUUGGAGCCGAGCAUACGCAGCUUCGAUGUCCAUUGUACUUUGAUCCUCAGGCAUUGUAUUCUAUCUUCGAGCUCGGAUCUGAUUCAUCGGGCUCGAAGUUGAUUUUGCCUGAGCUCGGGCUUAAGACAGACCCUCGAGCCUAUAAAUCGGAGGCAUAUGAUUUUGACUGUAUAUACAAUAUAUAUUUUUAUGAAAUAAUAAUUUUUUUUACCAUACAAAAUAUUCUACCCGUUACAUGACAAAAAAAUACUGAAUGAUAUUUAGUAGAUAUAGAUAUUUUAAACAAUAAAAAAAUACACUGAUUUUAGAAACAAAAGCGUAAAUAUGAUAGUUUAACUAAAAAAAUUCUUUACUUGAUAAAUAAAUUUUGUCAACAAAUGAAGGGAUCAGAUCUGUUCCAGUAAGUGUCAAUGUUAUGCUGGAUAAAGCCACGUGUUAGUUUAGUAUUUUAACGGUAUAGAUUCAUUUACGUUUUCUUAAAUAAAAUGGAUACAAGUUGCUGCUUGGAAGAAACAUCAAUUAAGUUGAAUAUAUAUUUUUUCCUUUGAGGUGCAAAACUUGAUUCAAAUGGUACAGUUGAGAUGAUCAAACUGAAAUUAGUUACAAAAUAAUAAUUGAUGAAGUAUGUCGCCCAUGUUAGGAAAAGCCUAGGAUCGAAGGUCUAUUCAUUGAUUAUGAUAAGAAGAACAAUUAAUGAUAUCUAAAUACGUUACACCAUGUCUGGUCGCUGCAUAUUAACUCUUGCAUAUCUAAAUAUUUUGCUAUAUAAUAAAAAAACAUUAAUAAAAACACACAGCAGUCUCUAUAUCUUUAUUCUUAUAUACUUCUUUAUGUGGAAAAAACAAAAAUUGAAGUUUAAGUGUAGGUCCCUAUUAGCCUGAAAAGGACAAAGUAGGUAGCAUAUUCAGUACUUAUGUUCUUAAUAUCUUGGUUGAUCAGAUACAUGCUAGUUCAAUUAAAUAUUAAAAUAAUUUAAUAAUCUGAUUAGCCGCCCGUGAUUAUCCGUACUCAUGGUUUAUUCGCAUAUCUAUGGUAUAUCUCAUUUCAAGACAACGUGGUGUACGUGUUUAUCAAAUUACUAUUAACAAGUCAAAGGUAUUCUUUCCAUGAUAAUGACACCACGUUUAUGCAUAAACCACCACUAGAAAAAUAUCAUCACUUUGACCAUUAUUUAGUUUUGUAGGAAACUUUAGAUUUCUGGAUAUAUAAGCCUGAGUAUGUCUAGAUCAAAGGUAUCUAAUUGGCCUAGCCAGUCAUGGUAGGAAUUCUGUUAUUUUAGGACGCACCUUGAUACAAGGGAGGGUGUAUUAUGUCUUCGUCCGAUUUUUCGCGUGUUAAAAAAUCUUGUUCUUUAAUCUAAGAAUUCUAGACAUAAAAGAAAGUGAAGUGUUGGAAUUAAAAAAUACAAUUUUUUUAUGUGAAAAAUCUCGCUCAAGGAAGUAAAAACCACUGCCUAGCAUCGUGGGAUUAACCUUAAAAUUUUAUUAACUUCAAAGAGCGAUUUUUAAUUACAUUAUAACUCAAUAAUCAGAGUGACUAUAAACUCUAGUCUGUUUACCUUAAAAAGUAUAUUUAAAUUUGUUACAUGGUUUACAGACAAGCGAAUUGAUUUGAUCCAAAAAUAAUAAAGAAAUAAAAUUAAAAUUAAGAUUGAACGACUUAAAUUCAAGAAGAUAGCAGCCCUGGCUCUGAACUCAGUGUUUUCGAGAGCAUAAGUGAAAAUAAUGACAAAGUGAUAAGAAAGCUAUUAAAUUAGGAGCAAAAUAGUAAAGCAAAGCUUUUGUGUGCAGAAUGUUUCAUGUCCCCUAUAAUAUUUAAUGCUAGUAAAUGUUCUCUCAUUGAAUGUUAUCCUGUGAUUAUUGAUGGUUAUUAAGAUGGUGGUUGGAGAGUACACCCUAAAUGUUGUUAGUGCUUAUAUGCCGCAUGCAGGCCUAGAUGAGGAGGUUAAAUGACGCUUAUGGAAGGGGUUAGAUGAAAUUGUGCGCCAGGUUUUGCCUACAAAGAAGCUAUUCAUAGGAGGGGAUUUCAAUGGUCAUAUUGGGGCGACUGUAGAUUGCUAUGACGAGGUGCAUGGAGGCUUUGGUUUUGGGGAGAGGAACGGAGGAGGUACAUCGCUGUUGGACUUUGUUGAGGCUUUUGGGUUGGUGAUUGCAAACUCUAGAUUCUCGAAGAGGAAAGAGCAUUUGAUUACUUUUCGAAAUGCGUUAGCGGAUACCCAGAUUUACUAUCUCCUUCUCAGGAGGCAUGACAAAGGAUUGUGCAAUGACUGCAAGGUGAUUCUGAGUGAGACACUUGCGUCGUAUCAUAAACUUUUGGUGUUAGACAUUGUUAUUAGGUUAAAUAUGAGGAAAAGCUCUGCUUGGGAAAAACCAAGAACCGGGUGGAGAGUCUUGACUAAGGAUAAAACCCAAGAGUUGGAGUGACGGUUAUCAACUAUGGGAGCUUGAAGGAGUAGUGGGGAUGCAAACACUAUGUGGUCAGCGACAGCAAACUGCAUAAAGGAGUCUGCGAGAGAGAUGUUAGGGAUCUUGAGCGGUGUCUCUGGUGGGCACAAAAAAGACUGGUGGUAGAAUGAAGUGGUCCAAGGUAAAGUGGAAGCGAAAAAGACGGCAUACCUGAAGUUAGUUAGGAGCAUAGGUGAGGAGGAGAGGCGAGCAUGCAUGGAGAGAUAUAAGGUAGCUUGGAGAUAAGAUAAAAUGUCAGUCAUGGAGGCUAAGACUACGACUUAGUGUCGCAUAUAUGAGGAACUGGGGGAAAAAGGCAGGGAGAAGAAGUUAUUCCGGAUGGCCAAGUUGAGAGAGAGGAAGGCUCGAGAUUUGGAUCAAGUGAGAUGCAUCAAGGAUGAAGAUGGUAGAGUACUAGUGGAAGAUGUCUAGAUCAAAAGGAGAUGACAGACUUCCUUUUAUAAAUUUAUGAAUUAAAAAGGGGAUCGUGAUAUUGUGUUAGGCUAAUUGGAGCAUCCCGGAAAGUCAUCGUGACCUCGGGCACUACAGGUGUAUCGAGGUUGAGGAGAUCGUAGGGGCUAUGCGUAAGAUGAGUAGGGGCAGCUCGAUCGGGCCAGAGAAAAUUCCAAUAGAAUUCUGGAAGUGUGUAGGAAGAGCAAGUGUGGAGUGGUUGACUAGGUUGUUUAAUAUUAUUUUUAAGUCCAAGUGGACGCCGGAUGAGUGGAGGUAGAGUACGGUGGUUCUAUUGUAUAAUAACAAAGGUGAUAUCCAAAGUUGUUUAUAGGGGUAUCAAAUUACUGAGUCAUACCAUGAAAGUAUAGGAGAGGGUGGUUGAAGCGAGAGUGAGGAUGACAACGUCUGUAUCCGACAACUAGUUCGGGUUCAUGCUUAGUCAUUCCACCGUAGAAGCUAUAUACCUUGUUAAGAGGUUGUGGAACUGUAUAGAGAGAGAAAGAAAGAUCUACACAUGGUGUUUAUUGACCUAGAGAAAGCGUAUGACAAGGUUCCUAGAGAAGUUCUCGGGAGAUAGUUGAAGGCAAAAGGUGUGUCGUUUCCUUAUAUUAUGGUAACUAAGGACAUGUAUGAUGGGGCUAAGACUCAGGUUAGGACAGUAGGAGGCGACUCCGAGCAUUUUCCGGUGAAAAUGGGGCUACAUGAAAGCUCUGCGCUCAGUCCAUUCUUAUUUGCCCUAGUGGUGGAUGCGAUAACAAACCAUAUUCAAGGGAAGGUGCCAUGGUGCACGCUAUUCUCUGAUGAUAUUGUUCUGAUUGAAGAGUUACGAGCCGGUGCUAACAAGAGAUUGGAAGUUUGGAGACAGAAUCUUGAGUCUAAGGUUUUCAAGCUAAGCAGAACAAAGACAGAAUACCUCAGUGUAAUUCAGCGCUGAGCCGGGAGAAGUGGACGUUGAUGUGAGGCUUGAGUCACAGGUUAUCCUAAAUAAAGGCAGCUUCAAGUACCUUGGUUCAGUUAUCCACGGUGUAGGGGAGAUCGACGAGGAUAUCACACACCGUAUUGGAGUAGGAUAGAUGAAGUGAAGGUUAGCAUCUAGAGUCUUUUGUGACAAGAGAGUUCCAACAAUACUCAAAGGUAAGUUCUACAAAGCGGUAGUUAGACCGGCCAUGAUGUAUGGGACUGAGUGUUGUCCUGUUAAGAACUCACAUAUGCAAAAGAUGAAAGUAGAAGAUAUGAUGCUAUUGAGGUGGAUGUACGGGCACACUAGGAUGGAUAAGAUUAGGAAUGACGAUAUUCGGGAGAAGGUGCACGUGGCUCCCACUGAGGACAAGAUGCAAAAAGUGAGGCUCAGAUUGUUCGGGCAUGUAUAAAGGAGAAGCCUAGGUGCUCCAGUAAGGAGGUGUGAACGGAUGGUUGUGGAAGACACGAGAAGAGGUAGAAGGCAGCCUAAGAAGUAUUCGGGAGAGGUGAUCAGGUAGGAUAUGGCGAGAUUCAGAUUUUCGAGGACAUGAAACUUGAUAGAACGUUGUGGAGGUCGAGUAUUAUGGUUGUAGGCUAGGAGGUAUUUGAUUCUUGCAUUAUUUUGUACCUUUGUGAGCCUAGUUCAGCAAGGUUUUUCUAAGACAGCUAAGGUCAUGUCGUGUCUUACUAUUUUCUUUUCGACGUUGGAUCCAUUAACUAACCACCAUUUUUGCUUUGCAUUUUUCUUCUGCAUUUUAUUUUCCUGUUUUUCCUAUGAUCUCCGUGAUGAAUCUAGUGUGAGCAUGUGAUUUUUUCCCUAUAUGAAUUACUCAUAAUUCAAAACAAAAUAAUUUCUUUUUAUUACUUUCAACGUUGUAGAUUUUUCGUAGCAUUUUAUGACAAUUGCAUGCAUUAUAAUUCAUAAAAAACACAAAUAUAUUUUCAUUUGGAAUUUAGACUUAACUUUUCAUUUCACAAUUAUUUGGUAAUUGAGUCGUUUCAUAAAAGAAAAUCACAAAAAAUAGUUUUAGGUGGCAUUUUUAAUUUCUUAUUUUGAUUUUGAGUAGUGUUUCUUUCAAACUUGUUUUGUGAUAAUUACCAUAUGUGUUUAAUUAUUUUCUUAGGGUUGAUUGAGUUUUAGGAAUUAAUUUAGAUGUAUUUUUAGUUUUAAAUUUAAAAAGAAAUUGGGAUAAGGAAAUGAGUAGAAAAGGGAAAAGGGGAAGGAAAUCCCUUUAGGAUGCUUCAGCCCAAUUCCCAUAACCCAAGCACACCCCUUAACCUAGACCCACGCCCCAAAUAUAUGGAUCAUACCCUAUCUCUAUGCCCACGCUAACAGGACCCAAAAUCUCACAGAACCCUUAAAUCAACGCGUACUGUUCUUCUUUUCCGAAGAAUACGCGAACCAAGCCCCAAAUUCCGUUCAAAUCCGGGCGAGUGAAUCUCAAAUCCCUAAUUCACGCGUCCCUCCUUCUCUCAUCUUACCAUUUCUAACAAUUUCUGAUACUAUAGAUGCUCCCCCUUCAGUCGGUCAAGUGGGAGAUGAGGCACGCGAUUGGAAGGUCCUAGAGACGAUUCGUUGGAUGAGGAUGAGUCGUUGGAUUGAUUUCAUUCAAUCCAAGCCCCAUUUUCAUCAAGGAUUCGUGUCUACAAAGGACAAUAUCCGAUUUUGAGAAGCAUGUUUAUUUUGGAGGAUUUGGUGGCAGAUUUUGAGAUGAAGUCGAAACUCUAGAUAUCAGUCUUCUUCAUCUUUAUUAUUGAUUUUCAUGCGUAAUAUUAACUUCAAAAUAUAUACAAAAAUGUUCGAUAUUCUGUGCUUCCACUGUUGUUUGAUUUACCGUCUAUUAGCUUCGAAAUACCGUCUUCAAAGUUACUGGAACUCGUUGUUGGUCGAGGCAUCGAUUUGUGGUUGCUGUUUCUUUGUGUCGAUCUCAGUGUUGAGAUUCUUUCAAAUUUUCAAUCCAGGUUCACCCUUGUUCCUUAUUUUAUUUUGUUAUGAAGUGAACCCUGGACGGCCCUGGACAGAUUCUAAGAUGAAUUCAAUUACAAUAAUAGAUGAGGCUUGUGUGGUUAUCUUCGACUUUAUUUACUGUUAUGCUUUCAACAUCUUCCAUGAGUUCAUAUGAACAGUGAGUUAGUUUCUAAAUGGCCGAAGAUCAAACUUGUUUGGUUUCAACGUCGUAUAUGUGUUUAUAUGGGCUUUGUAGAUUGUUUUUGGUAUCAUCUUUCGGUUUAACCCUGCAUCGAACAUGAAGCAUGCUAAUGUUGCAAACUUGGUAGAUCUACAUCCCUAUAUAGUGUCAAGGUUGUUUCCUUGUUGCAUUUUGUUCGAGAAUAAGCUUUGAUGAGCUAUCGCUGCUGAUGUUUGAACCCCGCGUGAGUGUUUAAGACACCUUUGAGAUGCUGAGAAUUGGACGUCAUCUAUGGUCUAGAAUUUAACUGUCAAUACUUCCUCUUUUGUUUUCUCUUUACUAGUUUUGGGUUUUCAGUCGGGAUAUGCUGUUAAUUUAACUAAACAUCAGCAGUUCCCACUAAGUGGUGAUCAUUCUUUAAUGAUAUAAAUUUGAACCUAUCCUAGUCCGUCUUGUGGACAAAGAUUCAGGGGUGCCUCUUUGAGCUGGUUUGCGUCUGCCUGCGAAUGUGUGGUUUGAGCCAUGACGCUGGACUUUAUUUUUGAAACAAGUGCCUGACCUGCUGAGCUACUCGUUCUAUCUGCACGCCAGUUGUAAUAAGUCAUCUUCCCCUAGAUGUUAUGUUGUUUUUGUGAUUGAUCCAGCCUAGUUGUUUUCUUUGCUGGAAAUUGUUAGUAUCAUUAGCUAUUAGAUUUAUCAUCGUCUUAACUUCGUGGCACAAUUGUUAAGUUUGGUUUUUGUAAAAUUGUCAGUCGGCUUUAUUCUCCUUCACGUUGAGUUGCUUCCUCUUUAGUCUUAAUGAAUUAUUUUAUGGCAUUACUCGCUUGCAUGUUCUGACGUAUUGAAUGAUUUUCUCGUCGAUAUCAGCCCUCCUAUCAGUCCUCUGAAAUGCAGAGGUCAUGAAUGGGAUUAAAAUGGCUCAUUUGGUUCUGUUUGUGAAGUUCAAAUCCAUAUGGUAACUUCAGCAUUUGUUGAGCAACUUUAUUAGCUAACUGUGUAGUUGCAGUUGAUUGCUCGACGAAUUGGUCAUUGAUAAUAUCAUAUGCUUGAAAUGGAUCUAUUCUGGAACAACUCGCUUUUCCAAUAAUUGCAUUCAUAAGCUACCGAUGGGGUUUACAACUAUAUGUAAUGCAUCUCGCAUCUUUCACUCAGGUUGGUUGUAUUUCGGAACCUGGAGUCCACGUAAAAUAUUUCCUCCUUUCUUGUUUCGGUACAUGCUUUGCAACUUGCUGUUGUGUUGGAGCAACUCGGUACUAGCAGGACAUUGACUAUACUUUCCAAAAUCAGCGGCAACUUUUCAUAUUAUUGAAGCGUUAAUAAAAAAAGCUCAAUUAAUUAAUUAGUUGGAGACAUAGGCAACUAGAUUGAGGUGAGCCAUAUUAGAUAUAGUUUAUGGCUCUCCUAAAUUAGCAUAGAAACAUUUGAGUAUAGUAUUUUUGAGGUGUACCAUGCCAAAUAAAAAUGACAAUUGCAUCGCCCUCAUUUAAUUGACAUUUUGAUCUUAGAAUUUGAGGCGUAACAAUUAGCGAAUUCCAUAACCCUCGCAAAGUGCGAACGCGUAGUUGCUUUAGGCGCGUGUCUAAUAAUAUUAUUUUCCUAAAUUAGAGUGCACAUUUAUGUGACCAAAAUUCAAAUCCCGACGAAGUUGAAAUGUAUCAAAAAUCACAGGUGCAUUUCUGUGAUGUGGUUCGGGACAUGUUUUAACGACGUUGUAAUUCUCUUUAAAAAUAAUAAUAAUAAUAAUAAUAAUAAUAAUAAUAAUAAUAAUAAUAAUAAUAAUAAUAAUAAUAAUAAUAAUAAUAAAAAAAGCGGUUAAAAAUUUUGAAAUUGACACAUAGGUCCAUAAUUGUUUAAAAUUAGAUAAAUUAAGCCAAAUAUAACAGUUGAGCGACCGUGCUAGAACCACGGAACUCGAGAAUGUCUAACACCUUCUCCCAGGUUAAUAGAAUUCCUUACCCGAAUUUCUGGUUUGCGGACUCUUAAAUAGAGUCAUUAUUUCUUCGAUUCGGGAUUCUAAACGGUAACUUGGGACACCAUAAAACUCCCAAGAGGAGAAUCUGAAAUCUCUUCAAUAAUUGAAUCCCGUUUCGAAUGCCUUUAAUUGGAAAAACUCCCUUAUCUACGCCCUUUGCGGGGUUGUAGAGCCAAAAAGAGGUGUGACAUCUAGUAUCCUCUCCUUUUGUUUUCUUUUUAUUAUCUUGAGCCGAUGGUCUUUCGAAAAUAGAAUGUCUACUCUUUGCGGGUAGGGGUAAGGUCUGCAUACACAAUACCUUCCCCAGGACCCACUCGUGGGAUUUUACUGGGUUGUUGUUAUUGUUAUUAUUGAACGUUAUCCGAUGGCCAACCCUUGAACUUCUAUAAACGUCCAUGUACCCUUCGAAAUUCGUCCGGUCCGAUCACACACACAACAUUCGGUAUUAGUCAUUUCUUGAUUCAUCUUUUGGUUAUCCUUGAUUCCAUAUGUCAUUUUACCAUCGACCACAUGUCAUCAACCGAUUUUACCCUAUACAGAUACCUUAUCCAACAAUCAACCCAUUUGCAUCUACCCCUUUCAAGACUGCAAAUUUUAGCCUAGAAAGUUAAACAAACUCUUUAGAACUUGAUAAUCAAUGAUUACACUUCUUAAUAAGUAAUAUGGGUUACGACUAAAGAACAAUAACUCUACCAUAAAAAACUAAAGAAGUUCUACAACUUCGUUUACUAGACCAAGUUUUUGAUAUUUGAGCAGCUUGAGUCCUUAAAAGUACAUUUCUUUUUAUGAAUUGUUAUUGCCUUGAAUAAAUUCUCUCAAUUGUGUGAAUAGUGUGAGUUUUCAAUAACAACAAUAUGAUGUUUUACAUAGGAGUGAAGUCGGUGGAAUCCUUUUCUAAUUUUAGCUCCAAACCUAAAAUAAGUAGGAUACCUUUAAAACAAAUCCUAAAACGAUAUCAUUUAUUUCCUUAAAAGACUCCUUACACUUUUUUCUUUCCAUGCAAGAAUGUUAAUCAUGAUCAAAAUUUAUUUAAGCUCAGUUCAACAGAAUCCCGCGCCUCAUAAGAUUGACAUCAAGUUUGAGAGGUGUUAUUGUGCCGAUUACAUUUUAAGUAGCUCUUCUUAUAAUUGUAAUUAGAAUCAGGGACCUUAAGUGCAAUUGUUUGUAAUAUAUUUUUGGGAUCCUUUGGAAGGCAUAGUUCACAACAUUUUUUUGAGUAUUAAACUAUGGCAGCAUGCACGUUACAUGUUAGAAAAAAUUAUUCUUUAUGAUAAUUGUUUAUCGUAAGAUAAUUUUUGGGCCCCUUUAGAAGGCAUAUUUCAGAACUUUUUGGAAUAUGAACUAUGGCAGCAUGCACGUUACAUGUUGAGAAAACUUUAUUCUUUAAAUGAUAACUUAGUUUAGCAGUAGAAGAAUACGGGCAGGAAAACAUUACUUUAUAAAUAGACGAGGAGAUAGUCUCCGUUGUCUUUUGCAUAACAAAAUAGAAAAUGGUCUCCAUCGUCUAUGCCCCAGACCCCAUCAGGACUAUACUGGAUAGUUGUUGUUGGUAUCCAUCGUCUAUGCCCAACAUCGCCUAUGUCAACAUAGUCAAGAAAUUGUUCAUGUUAUUCCCUUUCUACACUACUUAAUAAAUUAGUUUUUAAGUUCAUUAAUCUUCAAAUACGCGUGUUGUUCGUUUACUUACUAUUCAUGCCUUAUGCCUAUAAUGUUUUUAAAAGUCAGGGAGAAUGCAUAAAUGCCUCCAGACCUAUAGUUCCAUUCUCAACUACACGACUUUUGUUAUCCUCUUGAAAUAUUUUAAGGUCAGAUAAAUUCACCUUUAAAGUACCACUAUUACACCUUCUUUUUGAUUUAUAUGUGGUUACCCCGAAGGAUGAUACGUGUAUAGGAGUUUUUUUAAUUAAAGUGAUAUUAUUCGAAAUGAGAUUAUUUAUUUCAGAGUCGUCACUUGGGAUAAGUUUGGCUUUUGGUGUCCCGAGUUAACGGUUUAUUUUGAAUCCCAAAUCGAGGAAAUUUUUCGACUUCACGAAUGGAGUCUGCGAACCAGAAAUUCUGAGUAAGGAAUUCUGUUGACCCGAGGGAAGGUGUUAGGCACCCUCGGAUCCCGUGGUUCUAGUACCGGUCGCUUAAACUAUUAUAACUGGCUAAAAUUCUUAUUUUUAUACAUGUUCAUCCUAUAGUGCAAUUUUAAAUUAUUUUUAUACUGUUUUUAUUUAACUAUUUUUAGGAAAGAUUCAACAUUGUUUAAAACGCGCCUUGGACCACGUCACAUGAAAUGCACCCGCGGUCCACGACACAUUUUUAUUUAACGUUGUUUGAAUUUGUAUUUGGAUCACAUGAAAUGCACACCCGAGUUUAGGAAGAUAAUUUUUUUUAAAAGCGCACCUAAAGCAACUACGAGUGUUUAUAAACUAAUUAAUCUAUGAAUUUACAAGAGACAAAAUAAUUAUUAAUUUCUCUGGCCUUAAUCAUCCCAUAGCCAAAAUAUUCAGUAGCCAGACUUACCAUUUGAAAGGUUAGGCUAACUUCUGUCGAAAACCAAAUGAACUUAAAAGCUACAUUCUCAAAAGAUGCCAUAUGAUCCAUUAACAAACGAAUCAGCUCCUAAUGUACAAUUGGCCAUCAUGAAUAUUUUUUCCUUCUUAAUUUAACAUUCACUACAUGCCAGAAGGUAACAAUUUAUGCCAUAAACCAACAAAUCUCAACGAUAGGAUGGAACAAAAAUUAGUAGAGAAUUUUUCUAAUCUCACCAAUCAUAUAAAGAUAAAAUCAUAAAUUCAUGAACUUAGUAUUCAAAAUAAAAGUAUAACGGAAGAGAAGAACCUCAAUGACGGUUGCCGAGGAAAAUACUUGAACAAGAAUCGAAGAUCGUCGAUCCAGACCUCGGAACGGCAACCUCGACGUUAAUGAAAAUUCAUAUCCGUUUUCCUUUUAUUUGUAUAUGUAGUGCGGCUGUUAGCUUUAGGACGAAAAUAUUCUAUUUUUUGUCAAAAACUGAUACCCUUUCUUGGAUCCAUUGAGUCAUGGAACAACAAGGCCAAGAAUGGCGUUCUGCAUGAGAAUUGCAGCGUCAUUUUUUCAGCCUUAGGUCGCUUUCGUUAAGUCAAUCUUUUGCGUGUAUCUUCCAUAGAUUUUCA